UCCUCGGUGGUAUAAUGGUUAGUACGUCCACCUCUCACGCGGGAGACUGGGGUUCAAUUCCCCGCUGGGGAG
Non-coding RNA from Pristis pectinata (smalltooth sawfish), 72 nucleotides. The record is from the annotation of a RefSeq genome assembly. NCBI's taxonomy places the organism in Eukaryota, Metazoa, Chordata, Chondrichthyes, Rhinopristiformes, Pristidae.